GACGGGGGGUCCUAGCGUUGUUCGGAAUCAUUGGGCGUAAAGCGUGUGCAGGUGGUUUAGUAAGUUAGAUGUGAAAUCCUUGGGCUUAACCCAAGACGUGCAUUUAAAACUACUAGGCUUGAAUAUGGAAGAGGGUCGUGGAAUUCCUGGUGUAGUGGUGAAAUACGUAGAUAUCAGGAGGAACACCGGUGGCGAAGGCGGCGACCUGGUCCAAUAUUGACACUCAUACACGAAAGCGUGGGGAUCAAACAG
This 252-nucleotide ribosomal RNA is filed under the name uncultured bacterium. RNAcentral describes it as "partial 16S ribosomal RNA". It matches the Rfam family "Bacterial small subunit ribosomal RNA", at positions 524 to 775 of the family's 1533-position model. The record is from RNAcentral.